Molecule: ribosomal RNA, 484 nt
Filed under: uncultured bacterium
Lineage: Bacteria
Description: partial 16S ribosomal RNA
Rfam family: Bacterial small subunit ribosomal RNA
Source: RNAcentral
AUUGAACGCUGGCGGCAGGCCUAACACAUGCAAGUCGAGCGGAUGAAGGGAGCUUGCUCCUGGAUUCAGCGGCGGACGGGUGAGUAAUGCCUAGGAAUCUGCCUGGUAGUGGGGGAUAACGUCCGGAAACGGGCGCUAAUACCGCAUACGUCCUGAGGGAGAAAGUGGGGGAUCUUCGGACCUCAAGCUAUCAGAUGAGCCUAGGUCGGAUUAGCUAGUUGGUGGGGUAAAGGCCUACCAAGGCGACGAUCCGUAACUGGUCUGAGAGGAUGAUCAGUCACACUGGAACUGAGACACGGUCCAGACUCCUACGGGAGGCAGCAGUGGGGAAUAUUGGACAAAGGGCGAAAGCCUGAUCCAGCCAUGCCGCGUGUGUGAAGAAGGUCUUCGGAUUGUAAAGCACUUUAAGUUGGGAGGAAGGGCAGUAAGUUAAUACCUUGCUGUUUUGACGUUACCAACAGAAUAAGCACCGGCUAACUUCGUG